Long non-coding RNA from Drosophila kikkawai, 925 nucleotides. RefSeq lists it as uncharacterized. Lineage: Eukaryota; Metazoa; Arthropoda; Insecta; Diptera; Drosophilidae. The record is from RefSeq and is a predicted model, not a curated record.
UGUCACUUCAGUUCACAUCGGUUAAGGGAUUAUCGAAACCAUUUUGAAAGCAGCUCCCGAUUCCUACAAACUCUAAAUUCCAAAACGCACAAAGCAGGACGUCAUCGAUUCUGAAGUCUUCAACUUUAGCGUCUUCACUGGGGCGAAAGACGUUUCCAACCAAACCAGCCUGCCAUGGACGGAGGGGGUGACAGACAGCGGACUGUCCAUUUCCGCCGGCGCGUGCAUAACCAUCAUCGUUCUGUUCGUGUCGUAGCACAAGCAUCUGACUCCCGUACUAGUAUCGGUUAUGCUUCAGAUGAGGACGGUGUACCUGAUGCGUCAAGGCUUGCGUUGAUCUUGGCCCAGUUGGCCGAAGACUCUGGCUUCGAGUCAGGCAGCGAGGGCGACUAAGUAAAUUCCCAGCAGUGUUAAUAACUAAAUUAUUAUACAAAUUCGUCGUGGAUAUUACUUUACAAAAGGAAAAUAUUUUUGAGCAAAUUGACGAAAAUUAAAGGACAGUUUUAAGGAGCAAUGGAAAGUAAGAGUGAGUUUUUCACACUGCUCUAGCUAAAGCUUCUCCAGGAGAACAGGUCCAGGGUAGCGUUCAUGAAUUUGCUGCCUUAUCAAGAGGCAGUUUACCGUCGCGAAGGUGCUGGAGAGUCCCUACAUGGAAAGCCAAGCAGUCAGGGAGUUUGGUGUCUGAGGCGGAAGCCUACUUCUUGUGGCAACAGUUUUUGUUAGCCACAGGACCCUUGAACUGAAACCAAAGGUAUUGGAGAAGGCUCCUUCAAUCAUUUAGAAAACAUUUUUGGCUGAAACUUAGCAAUCAUAUUUUACAAAUCGUAGUGAAUUCCUUACGUUGAUGACUUGGCGAAUCAAUAUAUUUUAAUAAAAAAAUUUAUGUCUAACCAAGCUUUUUUUAUAUAAAGAGCUAUAAAAAAUA